GAUGAACGCUGGCGGCGUGCUUAACACAUGCAAGUCGAACGAUGAAGCCCAGCUUGCUGGGUGGAUUAGUGGCGAACGGGUGAGUAACACGUGAGUAACCUGCCCUUAACUCUGGGAUAAGCCUGGGAAACUGGGUCUAAUACCGGAUAGGAGCGUCCACCGCAUGGUGGGUGUUGGAAAGAUUUAUCGGUUUUGGAUGGACUCGCGGCCUAUCAGCUUGUUGGUGAGGUAAUGGCUCACCAAGGCGACGACGGGUAGCCGGCCUGAGAGGGUGACCGGCCACACUGGGACUGAGACACGGCCCAGACUCCUACGGGAGGCAGCAGUGGGGAAUAUUGCACAAUGGGCGAAAGCCUGAUGCAGCGACGCCGCGUGAGGGAUGACGGCCUUCGGGUUGUAAACCUCUUUCAGUAGGGAAGAAGCGAAAGUGACAGUACCUGCAGAAGAAGCACCGGCUAACUACGUG
RNAcentral lists this ribosomal RNA (466 nucleotides) under uncultured bacterium. RNAcentral's name for it is "partial 16S ribosomal RNA". It matches the Rfam family "Bacterial small subunit ribosomal RNA", at positions 28 to 507 of the family's 1533-position model. The record is from RNAcentral.